UCCUUUGAGGAGGCAACCAGGAAGGCUAGAAAGAGAGAUGAGAGUGAACCACCAGCAAGAGGAAGGAGGACAGCAACUCUCACUUGUGCUAGGUGCUUACAAACAGGCCACAAUAAGAGAACUUGUCAAUAUGCUGCUGUUGGGGUAACUAUACCUUUGCUUGCAUAUAAUGAAUCUAUUUUGACCUUUUUUACCUUUUUAUGUAUUUCUCUAAUUGCAGGCAAAUAUGGCUGCAAGUCAAAAGAAAAGAAAACACACUACUGCAUCAGGUGCGGGGACUUCAAGAGGGGUUAAUACUAAUCAAGUGGGAUCAAGUGGUGGACCAACUAUCUAAAGGAGCCUUUGGAAUAUCAAAUGAUCUUUUUGAGAAUGUUGUUAGUU
RNAcentral lists this long non-coding RNA (381 nucleotides) under Manihot esculenta (cassava). RNAcentral's name for it is "long non-coding RNA (MESC_LNC003042)". Lineage: Eukaryota; Viridiplantae; Streptophyta; Magnoliopsida; Malpighiales; Euphorbiaceae. The record is from RNAcentral.